GAUUUCUGGCACGAUUUGCCUGGCCCGCCACGGUUUCGUGUGUGAGUGCCGGGUCGGAUCUGCCAUCCUUCCAGAGAACGUUCCUACCCUUCACUGGGCCGGGAGCGCAAUCUGGAUCGUUUACUUUGAAAAAAUUAGAGUGUUUCAAGCAGGCGUCUCGCUGUGAAUACAUUAGCAUGGAAUAAUAACUUAGGACUUCGGUUCUAUUUUGUUGGUUUCUAGGACUGAAGUAAUGAUUGAUAGGGAUAGUUGGGGGUGCUAGUAUUCAGCGGCCAGAGGUGAAAUUCUUGGAUUCGCUGAAGACUAACUUAUGCGAAAGCAUU
Molecule: ribosomal RNA, 323 nt
Filed under: uncultured Allapsidae
Lineage: Eukaryota; Cercozoa; Glissomonadida; Viridiraptoridae
Description: SSU rRNA
Rfam family: Eukaryotic small subunit ribosomal RNA (bases 110-323)
Source: RNAcentral